Non-coding RNA from Dipodomys ordii (Ord's kangaroo rat), 65 nucleotides. The record is from Rfam. Lineage: Eukaryota; Metazoa; Chordata; Mammalia; Rodentia; Heteromyidae.
GGUGGCUCAGUGGUAGAGCGCUUGCCUCGCAUGCACAAGGCCCUGGGUUCGAUUCCUCAGCACCA